CAGCUCUUGCCAAACUUACACAUGCAAGUAUCCGCACCCCUGUGAAAAUGCCCUACAGUUCCCUGCUUGGGAACAAGGAGCUGGUAUCAGGCACAAACAUUUAUGCCCAUGACGCCUUGCUAAGCCACACCCCCAAGGGAACUCAGCAGUGAUAGACAUUAAGCCAUGAGUGAAAACUUGACUUAGUUAAAGCAAAGAGGGCCGGUAAAACUCGUGCCAGCCACCGCGGUUAUACGAGAGGCCCAAGUUGAUAAGCACCGGCGUAAAGAGUGGUUAUGGACGCCCCUUGAACUAAAGCCAAAUGCUCUCAAGGCUGUUAUACGCAUCCGAGAGCCAGAAGUUCGACCACGAAAGUGGCUUUAAACUACCUGAACCCACGAAAGCUAUGGAACAAACUGGGAUUAGAUACCCCACUAUGCCUAGCCCUAAACAUCGAUAACAUACUACGACCGUUAUCCGCCAGGGAACUACGAGCAUUAGCUUAAAACCCAAAGGACUUGGCGGUGCUUUAGAUCCACCUAGAGGAGCCUGUUCUAGAACCGAUGAUCCCCGUUCAACCUCACCUCUCCUUGUUCCUCCCGCCUAUAUACCGCCGUCGUCAGCUUACCCUGUGAAGGCCUAAAAGUAAGCAAAAUUGGCAAAGCCCAAAACGUCAGGUCGAGGUGUAGCGUAUGGAGAGGGAAGAAAUGGGCUACAUUCAGUGACCCACUGAAUUACGGAGGACGGACUGAAACGUCCGUCUGAAGGAGGAUUUAGCAGUAAGCAGGAAAUAGAGUGUCCCGCUGAAACCGGCCCUGAAGCGCGUACACACCGCCCGUCACUCUCCCCGAAAACAUCACGAAAGUACCUAAGACCUUACUACAAUAAAGGGAGGCA
RNAcentral lists this non-coding RNA (876 nucleotides) under Pseudodax moluccanus (chiseltooth wrasse). RNAcentral describes it as "partial 12S ribosomal RNA". It matches the Rfam family "Bacterial small subunit ribosomal RNA". Lineage: Eukaryota; Metazoa; Chordata; Actinopteri; Labriformes; Labridae. The record is from RNAcentral.